Molecule: long non-coding RNA, 338 nt
Organism: Cyprinodon tularosa
Lineage: Eukaryota; Metazoa; Chordata; Actinopteri; Cyprinodontiformes; Cyprinodontidae
Exons: 3
Source: RefSeq, a predicted model, not a curated record
ACGCACCACACGGGUGCCUAAUUCUAAUUGGUUGUGGCGCUCGCUGGUUGCCUGUGUAUAUAAGGGGCCCUCCCUCACCGGGUUGACAUUGCAUUGUUCUCCUUCCGGUUCAGACCUCUGCGUUUGUUGGUGCUGCACGCCAGCUGCAAAUGAAUGCAUGCACUUAAACAAUGCGCUUAACGGCAUACUGAUUGUGGACCAAUCGUCCUUCGGACUGCCAGUACAAGCUUCCCACGCUUUCCUCCCUGUAAGAGGCACUACUUAAAGAGCUCAGUGGAACGGUCAGCUCGUGGUGUUGGUGGUGGACUUCUGGGUGGUGGUUCCUCUUCUGGUUUGGU